UUGCGCAUGGGCGAAAGCCUGACGCAGCGACGCCGCGUGGGUGAAGAAGGCCUUCGGGUCGUAAAGCCCUGUUGUAGGGGACGAAGUCCUAGCUCUGAAUAGGGGUUAGGGUGACGGUACCCUACCAGAAAGCCCCGGCUAACUACGUGCCAGCAGCCGCGGUAAU
Molecule: ribosomal RNA, 166 nt
Filed under: uncultured bacterium
Lineage: Bacteria
Description: partial 16S ribosomal RNA
Rfam family: Bacterial small subunit ribosomal RNA
Source: RNAcentral